This 490-nucleotide ribosomal RNA is filed under the name uncultured bacterium. RNAcentral describes it as "partial 16S ribosomal RNA". It matches the Rfam family "Bacterial small subunit ribosomal RNA", at positions 28 to 507 of the family's 1533-position model. The record is from RNAcentral.
GAUGAACGCUAGCUACAGGCUUAACACAUGCAAGUCGAGGGGCAGCAUGGUCUUAGCUUGCUAAGGCCGAUGGCGACCGGCGCACGGGUGAGUAACACGUAUCCAACCUGCCGUCUACUCUUGGACAGCCUUCUGAAAGGAAGAUUAAUACAAGAUGGCAUCAUGAGUCCGCAUGUUCACAUGAUUAAAGGUAUUCCGGUAGACGAUGGGGAUGCGUUCCAUUAGAUAGUAGGCGGGGUAACGGCCCACCUAGUCUUCGAUGGAUAGGGGUUCUGAGAGGAAGGUCCCCCACAUUGGAACUGAGACACGGUCCAAACUCCUACGGGAGGCAGCAGUGAGGAAUAUUGGUCAAUGGGCGCAGGCCUGAACCAGCCAAGUAGCGUGAAGGAUGACUGCCCUAUGGGUUGUAAACUUCUUUUAGAAAGGAAUAAAGUCGGGUAUGGAUACCCGUUUGCAUGUACCUGAUGAAUAAGGAUCGGCUAACUCCGUG